UACGUAGGGGGCAAGCGUUGUCCGGAUUUAUUGGGCGUAAAGAGCGUGUAGGCGGCCUGCCAGGUCUGCUGUGAAAACUCGAGGCUCAACCUCGAGAUGUCGGCGGAAACCGUCUGGCUAGAGUCCGGAAGAGGAGAGUGGAAUUCCUGGUGUAGCGGUGAAAUGCGCAGAUAUCAGGAAGAACACCUAUGGCGAAGGCAGCUCUCUGGGACGGUACUGACGCUGAGACGCGAAAGCGUGGGGAGCGAACAGG
This 253-nucleotide ribosomal RNA is filed under the name uncultured bacterium. Its description in RNAcentral is "partial 16S ribosomal RNA". It matches the Rfam family "Bacterial small subunit ribosomal RNA", at positions 524 to 776 of the family's 1533-position model. The record is from RNAcentral.